RNAcentral lists this ribosomal RNA (350 nucleotides) under uncultured bacterium. Its description in RNAcentral is "partial 16S ribosomal RNA". It matches the Rfam family "Bacterial small subunit ribosomal RNA", at positions 338 to 706 of the family's 1533-position model. The record is from RNAcentral.
CCUACGGGAGGCAGCAGUGGGGAAUAUUGCACAAUGGGCGAAAGCCUGCUGCAGCACCGCCGCGUGAGCGAUGCAGGCCUUCGGGUCGUACAGCUCUGUCCUCAAGGAAGAUAAUGACGGUACUUGAGGAGGAAGCCCCGGCUAACUACGUGCCAGCAGCCGCGAUAAUACGUAGGGGGCUAGCGUUAUCCGGAAUUACUGGGCGUAAAGGGUGCGUAGGUGGUUUCUUAAGUCAGAGGUGAAAGGCUACGGCUCAACAGUAUUAAGCCUUGGCAACUGGGGAACGUGAGUGCAGGAGAGGAGAGUGGAAUUCCUAGUGUAGCGGUGAAAUGCGUAGAGAUUAGGAGGAA